GAGUUUGAUCCUGGCUCAGAGUGAACGCUGGCGGCGUGCCUAAUACAUGCAAGUCGAACGGACAAGUAAGAGCUUGCUCUUAUGAGUUAGUGGCGCACGGGUGAGUAAUGUAUAGCUAAUCUGCCCUACACUAGAGGACAACAGUUGGAAACGACUGCUAAUACUCUAUACUCCUUCUUUACAUAAGUUGAGUCGGGAAAGUUUUUCGGUGUAGGAUGAGGCUAUAUCGUAUCAGCUAGUUGGUAAGGUAAUGGCUUACCAAGGCUAUGACGCGUAACUGGUCUGAGAGGAUGAUCAGUCACACUGGAACUGAGACACGGUCCAGACUCCUACGGGAGGCAGCAGUAGGGAAUAUUGCUCAAUGGGGGAAACCCUGAAGCAGCAACGUCGCGUGGAGGAUGACACUUUUCGGAGCGUAAACUCCUUUUCUUGGGAAAGAAUUAUGACG
RNAcentral lists this ribosomal RNA (448 nucleotides) under Campylobacter sp. canine oral taxon 283. Its description in RNAcentral is "bacterial SSU rRNA". It matches the Rfam family "Bacterial small subunit ribosomal RNA", at positions 9 to 457 of the family's 1533-position model. The record is from RNAcentral. Lineage: Bacteria; Pseudomonadati; Campylobacterota; Epsilonproteobacteria; Campylobacterales; Campylobacteraceae.